GGUGAGAUGGCCGAGUGGUCUAAGGCGCCAGAUUCAGGACCAGGACAUUCAGAUGUCCACUACUUUCUGGUCUUUCGGGGCGUGGGUUCGAAUCCCACUCUCAUCA
Molecule: non-coding RNA, 106 nt
Organism: Panaeolus papilionaceus
Lineage: Eukaryota; Fungi; Basidiomycota; Agaricomycetes; Agaricales
Source: the annotation of a GenBank genome assembly